Molecule: long non-coding RNA, 315 nt
Filed under: Fukomys damarensis (Damara mole-rat)
Lineage: Eukaryota; Metazoa; Chordata; Mammalia; Rodentia; Bathyergidae
Description: lncRNA (ENSFDAG00000025141.1)
Source: RNAcentral
ACAAACAUAUUUUUUUAUUCUUUCAGGAUUCUUCAUUUCCUGCCAUAAAAGGAUAGGGCCUCUGGUUUCAAUGAUAUUAUCUGCCCAAACCAAAUUAACACAGUGGAUGAAUAAUUCUCGAUUCCCAUAUUCUACAUGCAGACAAGAAGGAAGUGGGCAAGCUGGUGGUGACUUCUUCCAGAUGGCAUGUGGCAGCAGAUGGAGCCAAGUUUGUUAUCAGAAUGUGGAGUUGCUGCCAGCACCCAAGAAUGCACAGGAAUGCAUCUUAUAAUGCACAGAGCAGCCUCCUCCCCCAGCAAAAAAAUCACCUGGGCC